Long non-coding RNA from Bos taurus (domestic cattle), 655 nucleotides. Lineage: Eukaryota; Metazoa; Chordata; Mammalia; Artiodactyla; Bovidae. The record is from Ensembl.
AGUGAGUAAGACAGACAAUGUCCUUGAAAGGGAAGUGAAUGUGUUGCAGACUGGCUGGUCCAACACCCCCUGGGAGAUCUCAACACUGGUUGCACACCAGACACGUCUGUGAGACACCAGAAAAGCCCAGAGUAGAGCCACAACAAGAUGGCCACACCGUGGCAGGCGCCCAGGGCUCGUGAUCGCUCCCGGUGGGACUGAGUGGUUCACAGUGAGUCCAGGUCGGAGAACAGGCAGGUCCUAAAGGUCCGGAUUCAUGACCAGGUGCUGAAUUGACAUCAUCAGAUGGACUAACCGCCCUGGUGACAGAGUUGGUGCCGUUUCCCAGAUCCUCCUUGGGACAACCUUGCUAGUCACCCCUUCCUCCCUGCCCUCAGGGUCAACAGCCGGCCUAGCCAACCCGGGGUGGGAGGACGCCUGCUGCCUCCUGUUGCGGCAGACUCCCUCUCCCCUCUCUCUGCAGUCUCACUGGCAAAUGAGUAAGAAGAAUAGAAUUACAGUUGGGCUACACGAGACACAGAAUUAGCGGGAUUAAAUAAAAAUAGCUAUUAAAAGUGCCUUAUAAUUAAAUUCAUUUUCCAGUUAUUUGUUUUACACACACACACCCGCCAACACUCGUGCACACACGCACAUUCUCCAGGCCGCAGCUCCACAC